CAAGUCGAGCGGCAGCGACAACAUUGAACCUUCGGGGGAUUUGUUGGGCGGCGAGCGGCGGACGGGUGAGUAAUGCCUGGGAAAUUGCCCUGAUGUGGGGGAUAACCAUUGGAAACGAUGGCUAAUACCGCAUGAUAGCUUCGGCUCAAAGAGGGGGACCUUCGGGCCUCUCGCGUCAGGAUAUGCCCAGGUGGGAUUAGCUAGUUGGUGAGGUAAGGGCUCACCAAGGCGACGAUCCCUAGCUGGUCUGAGAGGAUGAUCAGCCACACUGGAACUGAGACACGGUCCAGACUCCUACGGGAGGCAGCAGUGGGGAAUAUUGCACAAUGGGCGCAAGCCUGAUGCAGCCAUGCCGCGUGUAUGAAGAAGGCCUUCGGGUUGUAAAGUACUUUCAGCAGUGAGGAAGGAGGUAUCGUUAAUAGCGGUAUCUUUUGACGUUAGCUGCAGAAGAAGCACCGGCUAACUCCGUGCCAGC
RNAcentral lists this ribosomal RNA (475 nucleotides) under bacterium 2311-S4-18-1.1. Its description in RNAcentral is "bacterial SSU rRNA". It matches the Rfam family "Bacterial small subunit ribosomal RNA", at positions 58 to 512 of the family's 1533-position model. The record is from RNAcentral. RNAcentral also lists the same sequence under 1 other name.